AUUGAACGCUGGCGGCAGGCCUAACACAUGCAAGUCGAGCGGAUGAAGGGAGCUUGCUCCUGGAUUCAGCGGCGGACGGGUGAGUAAUGCCUAGGAAUCUGCCUGGUAGUGGGGGAUAACGUCCGGAAACGGGCGCUAAUACCGCAUACGUCCUGAGGGCGAAAGUGGGGGAUCUUCGGACCUCACGCUAUCAGAUGAGCCUAGGUCGGAUUAGCUAGUUGGUGGGGUAAAGGCCUACCAAGGCGACGAUCCGUAGCUGGUCUGAGAGGAUGAUCAGUCACACGGGAGCGGAGACACGGGCUGGAGUAGGACGGGAGGCAGCAGUGGGGAAUAUUGGAAAAGGGGCGAAAGUGUGAAACAGCCAGAGCGGGUGGGGGAAGAAGGACUUAGGGUGGUAAAGCUGUUUUGUUGGGAAAGAAAAGCAGCAGGGUAAGAACCUGCGGUCCGGACGGUACCCAAAGAAGAAGCACCGGCGAACUUGGUG
RNAcentral lists this ribosomal RNA (484 nucleotides) under uncultured bacterium. RNAcentral describes it as "partial 16S ribosomal RNA". It matches the Rfam family "Bacterial small subunit ribosomal RNA", at positions 29 to 507 of the family's 1533-position model. The record is from RNAcentral.